RNAcentral lists this small RNA (527 nucleotides) under Arabidopsis thaliana (thale cress). RNAcentral's name for it is "ATSL092750". Lineage: Eukaryota; Viridiplantae; Streptophyta; Magnoliopsida; Brassicales; Brassicaceae. The record is from RNAcentral.
AACAAAAACUAUUUUAUAAAAUUUAUUUAAUAUUUAAUUAUUUAAAUUUAAUUUAAUAUUAACGGUGAUUAAUAAUAUUUAAUCACAAAAAACAUAAACAUAAAUAAAAUGAAAAAUAUAAAAUAAAAAUUGUGGGAUAAGGUGUUGUAAUUUUAUCAAACAAAACUAUUGUAGAGGGAAAAAAUUAUGUAGGUGUGGAAUAACGAUGUGGAAGAGAGAGAAAACGAUGUGAAGUGUUAAAAGGGAAAAAAAGGGUGUUGUAAAUGGGUAACCAUUGUAGAUAGUCUUAGGAAGUGAAUGGUGACUUUAAGAUUUGCAGAUUUCGAAAGAAAAAGAAAAAAAUGCACUAAUGUCACCAAUCAGACAUAUGUGUGUAAUUUGUUUUUUUUUACAGAUAAUUUGGCACACACAUUUCAAAGCAUGUUAAUACACUAGGGAUAAAAGAAACACACUCUACUAUCGUCCAAGGGAUAUUUGGCAGCGCUUAACUAAAAACUUGCAUUACACAGUAAGUAAUAAAUCAAUUA